This 253-nucleotide ribosomal RNA is filed under the name uncultured bacterium. RNAcentral's name for it is "partial 16S ribosomal RNA". It matches the Rfam family "Bacterial small subunit ribosomal RNA", at positions 524 to 776 of the family's 1533-position model. The record is from RNAcentral.
UACAGAGGUCUCAAGCGUUGUUCGGAUUCAUUGGGCGUAAAGGGUGCGUAGGUGGCGCGCUAAGUCAGAUGUGAAAUUUCGGAGCUUAACUCCGAAACUGCAUUUGAUACUGGCAUGCUUGAGGACUGGAGAGGAGACUGGAAUUCACGGUGUAGCAGUGAAAUGCGUAGAGAUCGUGAGGAAGACCAGUGGCGAAGGCGGGUCUCUGGACAGUUCCUGACACUGAGGCACGAAGGCCAGGGGAGCAAACGGG